UGUCCUUUUUGAAGGGAGAAAAAGAACAAGUUUGCAGAAAGCACCUGGUUUGGAAUCUCUCUUUUAUUUUAUUCUUUUGUACAUGCUGCACACAUGGAAUCUCAUAUCUAGUUUGCAAGGAACUAGCUACAAAAAUCACCGGCUCCUGUCACAGAUUACGUUUUGGAUUACAUGCAAGGAAGUGAUCACAUAUUUAUUUCUUUAAGCACAAUGCAUCACAGUUUUGAGUUAGCAAAGUUACUUUGUAGGAACAUUUUAAGCUAUUAUUUGAAAGGUCAUGGUGGGGAUAUUUUCUGGUUCUAUGACUCGCUUUUCUCAAUGACCUGCAAAGUGAUGCAAUGGAUCUUCUAAUGUGUAUGGCUGAACACAGGGGGCGAAUAUCAUAAUGGAAAGAGGUGCUAAGAGGCCACCAUUUGACCACUGGAAAAGGGGCGCAAAGAGACCUCCUUUUGACCAUUGGAACAUCAGGUGGGCCAGCAGGAAGGAGACAGCUUUUAAGAAAGUACGCUGGGAGACAGCAAGAGACAAACUGCUGUGCCCAAGGAGGAAGGUUGAAAUUAUUGAGAGACCUCUUGAUGGAGCCCCUACAGAACUGUCAAGUACUUCUUUCCAUCAAGUCCUCUGAGGAACAUCUGCAAAACAGAGACAUUGAGGAGCAGCCGAGAUCCUCCACAAUCUUGGGGACGAAUAUCAGAAUGGAAAGAGGCGCUAAGAGGCCACGCUUUGACCACUGGAGUCUAAGAUGGGCCAGCAGGAAGGAAAACAAUUUUAACAAACAACGCAGGGAGACAGCAAGAGACAAACUGCUGUGCCCAAGGAGGAAGGACUUGAAGGAUGAAGGAAAAUGCCCUCUCUCCCCUCUCACCUGUAAACCCCAUGUUCUUCCUCUCCCCAACCCAAAUCCUGCUCUUCCCCCUCUAUCCAAUCCCCAAACCCCUCUUGUCCCUUGGUCCAACUCACCCCCUGCUCUUUCACUUCUGCCCUUACCCUUGUUCCGGCUUCUCCCCCUACUUCGAGAGGAGUGCCAUCUCCCAAAUCUACCAGCUGAGGUAACUUCCCAACGAUUUCAAACCCCCUCUAGUGCAGUGGUCCCCAACCUUUUUGGGACAGCAAACUGGUUGGGGUGGUUGGGCUCCGUGCGGGGUUGUGUGUUGCCCUCGCCCCCCCCUCGAGCAAGCAAGGGGUGGGGGGACUGUGGGGCGGAGAUCCAUCUCCACAGCCCAGUUCCAGGAAGGCCACGGACUGGCACCAGGCCACGGACUGGGGGUUGGGGACCCCAGCUUUAG
RNAcentral lists this long non-coding RNA (1286 nucleotides) under Pogona vitticeps (central bearded dragon). RNAcentral's name for it is "lncRNA (ENSPVIG00000011036.1)". The record is from RNAcentral. Lineage: Eukaryota; Metazoa; Chordata; Lepidosauria; Squamata; Agamidae.